GACGAACGCUGGCGGCACGCUUAACACAUGCAAGUCGAACGGAGAAUUUUUGGUUUACUGGAGAUUCUUAGUGGCGGACGGGUGAGUAACACGUGAGCAACCUGCCUUUGAGAGAGGGAUAGCUUCUGGAAACGGAUGGUAAUACCUCAUGACAUAGUUUAGCCGCAUGACUGAACUAUCAAAGAUUUAUCACUCAAAGAUGGGCUCGCGUCUGAUUAGAUAGUUGGUGAGGUAACGGCUCACCAAGUCGACGAUCAGUAGCCGGACUGAGAGGUUGAACGGCCACAUUGGGACUGAGACACGGCCCAG
This 309-nucleotide ribosomal RNA is filed under the name uncultured bacterium. RNAcentral's name for it is "bacterial SSU rRNA". It matches the Rfam family "Bacterial small subunit ribosomal RNA", at positions 28 to 334 of the family's 1533-position model. The record is from RNAcentral.